GAGAGUCCUGGGCAGGCAGCAGGCAUCUCCGCUUGGGUCUUUCAGGAUGAGCAGGAUGUUAUUGUCUCACAUUUGCUGAGUCUGGAAGGCAGGUCUCUCCAGUGGUUUUUGGAGCAAAUGUUUUGAUGGGCCAGCAUAGACACUGCCCAAACAUACAAGCAACUUGCCCAGUGUCCAGCUGUAAGCAAAUGCUACUCUUGAUGUGCUGGGGCACUAUGGUGGGCACAGGAAACUAAGCAUAACUAACAUUCAGACCUUCACUUCAAGGAGCCAGUCUUUGCAAGAGUGAAGAGAAACGGCCUUGAACCCUGUAAUCAUGUAACAAUUCCUGCUCCGGGACUCGGGAGAGGUGAACUUGGGUACAAUAUACACUCAUGCCUUCUGGGUCCAGAGACCAGUUCUGAAGCAGAAACCCACUGGGUACACACUGGAAGCUGGCUGUGUGUAAAAGCUACCAGAGAGACUCUAGUGAGGGAUCAUUCAGUUGCUAAAAGAUUAUUGUUAUAAAUUAUACAGCAUGGAGCUAAAUAAAUGAGCUUUUGAAACACUGGAGCGAGCGGUAUUCCACGCAUGUGUAUAUCCACACUUGCUUAUCCACUCAUCUGUGGGUGGAUAUUUAAGUUGCUUCCUCCUCUGGGCUAUUGUGAACAAGAACACUGUGAACAUCUGUGUGGGGUGAUGGCCUGAGCACCUGUUUUUAAUUCUUUAGGGGAAUGGCACCACCCACUGUUCUGGGUCUUCCUGAAUCAAUCAACAAUCAAGACAACCCC
Molecule: long non-coding RNA, 770 nt
Filed under: Mus caroli (Ryukyu mouse)
Lineage: Eukaryota; Metazoa; Chordata; Mammalia; Rodentia; Muridae
Description: lncRNA (MGP_CAROLIEiJ_G0013758.1)
Source: RNAcentral